This is a long non-coding RNA of Amblyraja radiata (thorny skate), 69 nucleotides long. RefSeq lists it as uncharacterized. The record is from RefSeq and is a predicted model, not a curated record. NCBI's taxonomy places the organism in Eukaryota, Metazoa, Chordata, Chondrichthyes, Rajiformes, Rajidae. The transcript has 3 exons.
UUGUGACGUCGAACAAGGACAGGGCCUACACAGAAUGGUUGUGCUCUGGGGAGUGUUGUAGAACAGGGG